RNAcentral lists this long non-coding RNA (301 nucleotides) under Lingula anatina. RNAcentral describes it as "uncharacterized LOC106163350". The record is from RNAcentral. Lineage: Eukaryota; Metazoa; Brachiopoda; Lingulata; Lingulida; Lingulidae.
AACCAGGUGAGCAUUUUGGUGAGAGGUAUUCAGAUAGGACCAAGGUCAGAAGGAAGAGGAAGAAGCUUCACGUGCCACAUUGCCACAAUUUCCACACGUAGACUGAAAUUUUGGCACUGAGAACUGAUGUAGUUUGUUAAGGAAAGUAUUUGCUCAUAAAGAAGUGAGAAGAUUAUUCCAGCCGUCCAAAGGUCUGAACUCGUUUUUCCGUCUUAAACAAAGCAAGACGACAAAGCAGUGCCUCAUAACAACCGUCUACGAUGAGAAUAGACGCACUCCCAGAAAAGACAUCAGAUUCGUG